UCCGAAAAGCCAUCUUUGCAUUGUUCCCGGGUCGUGCUCCGCGCUCACUGCAGCCACCUUCGCCGCCCACCGUCUCCUCCAACGCGGACUCCGGCAGCUUUCUCGCCAGAGUCCUCGAAACUCGACUAAUUCCUUACGCGUAGCACCAGACCACCGGCGUGCCCCACCAUGUCAGACGCGGCAGUGGACACCAGCUCCGAGAUCACCACCAAGGACUUGAAGGAGAAGAAGGAAGUUGUGGAGGAGGCAGAGAAUGGAAGAGACGCACCUGCCAAUGGGAACGCUCAAAAUGAGGAAAAUGGGGAGCAGGAGGCUGACAAUGAGGUAGAUGAAGAAGAGGAAGAAGGUGGGGAGGAAGAGGAGGAGGAGGAAGAAGGUGAUGGUGAGUAGUCUUGUUUUCUCAGGUUCCUUCCCUGGGAUGUACUGCCAGAAGGGAGAGGUUGGGUUUCUGGGCAAGUCGGCCAAUUUGAAUUGCAGUCCUUUUACGCCUCCUGUUGGCAGUUCCAUGUUUAAAGAGUUGUUGCUGUCUGACCUGUCUACUCUGGGGAGACAGUUCCCAGACAAGGGGUGGCAGUGGUUUAUAUGGUCCUUGAUUCUCUCCAGGUGAGGAAGAAGAUGGAGAUGAAGAUGAGGAAGCUGAGGCUCCUACGGGCAAGCGGGUAGCUGAGGAUGAUGAGGAUGAUGAUGUUGAGACCAAGAAGCAGAAGAAGACUGAUGAGGAUGACUAGACAGCAAAAGGAAAAGCUAACCUUACGCACCGUGACCUAUUCACCCUCCACUUCCCGUCUCAGAAUUUAAACGUGGUCACCUUCGAGUAGAGAAGCAGGCCCCCGCCCGCCCACUGCGGGCAGUGCCACCCACACAUGACAUGCGCUCUUCACCACCCCACCAAAACCACAACAUGAAUUGGCAACAUGGGAGGAGAAAAGAACCAGAACUUCCCAGGCCCUGCUUUUUUUCUUAAAAAUACUUUAAAAGGAAAAUUUGUUUGUAUUUUUUAUUUACAUUUUAUAUUUUUGUACAUAUUGUUAGGGGUCAGCCAUUUUUAAUGAUAACGGGUGACCAAACCAGCCUUCAGAGCGUUUUCUGUCCUACUUCAGACUUUACUUGUGGUGUGACCAUGUUCAUUAUACUCUCAAAGGAGAAAAAAAACCUUGUAAAAAAAACAAAAACAACAAC
RNAcentral lists this long non-coding RNA (1179 nucleotides) under Rattus norvegicus (Norway rat). Its description in RNAcentral is "long non-coding RNA NONRATT029617". The record is from RNAcentral. Lineage: Eukaryota; Metazoa; Chordata; Mammalia; Rodentia; Muridae.